This 1030-nucleotide long non-coding RNA is filed under the name Ursus maritimus (polar bear). RNAcentral describes it as "lncRNA (ENSUMAG00000005430.1)". The record is from RNAcentral. Lineage: Eukaryota; Metazoa; Chordata; Mammalia; Carnivora; Ursidae.
CUCUGUUGCCCCCUCAAAUACACGUGAUGAUGCCCAACAGGGCAAAGAUGUAUUGAUUUUUUGGAUUCUUUAAGUAUCUUUCACUUACCAUUUUAUAGGCAAUUUUGCUGUUCUAUUUUCAGUAUUGUUUUUAUAAAUUCCAUCUUUCAUUUUAUUUUCCAUUUCACAAGAAAGCAAACUCCCUGAAAUCUGAACAGUAAAAUGAUGGUACGUGAAAACCAAAGGUCUGUGGUUUUUUAUAAUCCUAAAUUAAAUGCCCUCCAAGAAAUGACAUAAUUAGUGUGACCUAGGUAAUUGUAUAAUAUGUGCAUGCCUUUUUCAAAAAGAUUUUAUUUAUUUAUUUGACAGACACACAGAGAGAGAACACAAGCACGGGGAGCACCAGAGACGGAGAAGCAGACUCCCUGCGGAGUGGGGCUUGAUCCCAGGACUUUGGGAUCAUGACCUGAGCCGAAGGCAGAUGCUUAACCAACUGAAUCACCCAGGCCCACUGAUACAUGCAUGCCUUAAGAGCCCCAGGCACCAGACUACUACUCUCUCCAUUCAAAUGCUUUUGAAUGGAGUAAUUAAAAAAAAAGGUCCAUCUGUCAGAAAAUAGGUCCAUCUGGAACUAUGGAUCUACACAAAGAGGAAGAGCAUAACAAAGGUAAUUAUAUAAUGAUUAAGUAUAAUUAUUUAUGGUAAUAUAAUAAGGUAGGGUAAAUAUAAAAUAAUUGAUUUUAUAUUAAAAAUCAUGUUAGAAGAUAAUUGACAGCUUAAAACAAAAAAAUAAUAAUGUAUUAUAGGGCUUGUAACAUAGAUAGAAACAAAUAUAUGACAGUAGCACAAAAGCCAAGAAGGAGAUAAUUGAAAUAUACUGUUUUGAGAUUUUUAUGCUCUAUUUGAAAUGGUGUAAUAAUACUUGAAGGAACAUUUGAUAGAGAUAUAUUUUAUCAACCCUAAAUGAUCUCCUAAAAAAAAAUAGCUAAUAAGCCAACAAGAUGGAAUCAUAAAGGAGAUUAAAUUAAUCCAAAAGGAGGCAGGACAAAAA